This 73-nucleotide transfer RNA is filed under the name Ovis aries (sheep). It matches the Rfam family "tRNA". Rfam says of the family: Transfer RNA (tRNA) molecules are approximately 80 nucleotides in length. Their secondary structure includes four short double-helical elements and three loops (D, anti-codon, and T loops). Lineage: Eukaryota; Metazoa; Chordata; Mammalia; Artiodactyla; Bovidae. The record is from Rfam by way of RNAcentral.
UCCCUGGUUGUCCAAUGGCUAAGACUCCACACUCCCAAUGCAGGGGACCCAGGUUCAAUCCCUGGUCGGGGAA